Molecule: long non-coding RNA, 867 nt
Organism: Corvus hawaiiensis (hawaiian crow)
Lineage: Eukaryota; Metazoa; Chordata; Aves; Passeriformes; Corvidae
Exons: 3
Source: RefSeq, a predicted model, not a curated record
AGUUGACCUGUGGAAGGGAGCCAGCCAGAGACAGCCCUGAAACUACGCUUUAGAUCUGAAUACCCACCUAAUGCAAAGGUCAGAGAGCUGAUGCUGAAGGUGACAGCUUCCAACGUGUUUCAAAGUGAGAACCCCAAUUGCUGCUCCUGGUCUCAAUGGAAGAGAAGCCUGGUGUGAGUGAAGGAGUAGAGAAUCCAGGAAGCUUCCCUUGUGUGGUAAAGAUGGACAACUACUGAUAGAGGCCACUGCAUCAAAGGGGUCUACAAAUAAAACUUGUAUCAAUGGAGCUGCAUGAAUAUGAUAGCAAAAAUAUAUUCAUUUCCUUGUGUUAAUCUGGAAGGUAACUUUCUUUUUAAAUGUUUACUGAAGAAAAGAUAUGUAGGAGACAAACAAAAGUUUCUAAAUUGGUAUAGAUUAGAGAGGAUCCCAAACCAUAAUCUUAACCUUUGCAAAAGAGAUGUAUAGGCAUGCAACCUUGCUUCGGUCUGGAGAUCGCCUCCAGGUUGCCAAGGCCAUAAGAAAAAGUCUAUAUUUGCUACAUGCACUGAUCAUAUCACAUCUACCUCUGGUGAUACCGCUUCUAAAAUACCAAAAUAGACAAGAAGUGAAGAGUGAGUGCAACAUAUCUGGGGUGUAUAGGCACAGCAUCAACAGCUGGACAAAAGAGGUGAUUGUCCCACUCUGCUCUGCACUGAUGCAGCCUCACCUCAGAUCCUGGGGACACUGCAAUAUUAAAAAGACAUUGAGCUGUUAGAGAGCAUCCAAAGGAGGACCACAAGGAUGGUGAAGUGUCUGGAGCUGAAGCCGAAUGAGGAGUGGCUGAGGUCACUUGGUCUGUUCAGCCUGGAGGAGACUGAGGGGAGACCC